AUUUAAAAAAAAAAACAGAAGAAUCCUCUAGAAGAGGAUUGAGAACUAGCCCUCGGAGCUCUGUUGGGCCUCUGUCCAGGGGCUUACACGUGCCUAUGCGCCACUGUCAACACCGACUCUUACGGCGGCAGGAAACUGGAAAACUUUCACCUUUUACCACGCAUCAAAAGAUACCAGCGAGGAUAUCACGGCGGUGAGUGCGCUGGCGUUGAUUCGUGCACCGAUUGCGGCGUGGUACAAGGCUAGAGUCACAGUGUCGGUGGAAACUGGAACAACGCGAGACGAAAGGGCGCGUCGGUUGGAGUGCUUGCGGCGCCUAGGGCUUCUGAAACCCUAGGUCUUCUGUACUUAGUUUAUGGUUUGGGCCUCUUGGGCCCCGUUCAUUUUUGGGUUAAGGGUGUACUGGGCUAGUGGGUAGUUUAGGCUAAUUGGGUCUUCUGGUUUAGAUCAGUUGGGGUACAAGUGUAACCGGGUUUGGACUAUCGGGCCUUUAGGCUUGUUUAUUGUAAUUUGGACAUUACAGACCUUAACAAUAAAAAUAUAUUUAAUAAUUCAUUUAAA
Gossypium arboreum is the source of this 561-nucleotide long non-coding RNA. RefSeq lists it as uncharacterized. The transcript is spliced from 2 exons. Lineage: Eukaryota; Viridiplantae; Streptophyta; Magnoliopsida; Malvales; Malvaceae. The record is from RefSeq and is a predicted model, not a curated record.